This 445-nucleotide ribosomal RNA is filed under the name uncultured bacterium. Its description in RNAcentral is "bacterial SSU rRNA". It matches the Rfam family "Bacterial small subunit ribosomal RNA", at positions 330 to 792 of the family's 1533-position model. The record is from RNAcentral.
ACCAGACUCCUACGGGAGGCAGCAGUGGGGAAUAUUGCACAAUGGGGGGAACCCUGAUGCAGCGACGCCGCGUGAGUGAAGAAGUAUUUCGGUAUGUAAAGCUCUAUCAGCAGGGAAGAUAAUGACGGUACCUGACUAAGAAGCCCCGGCUAACUACGUGCCAGCAGCCGCGGUAAUACGUAGGGGGCAAGCGUUAUCCGGAUUUACUGGGUGUAAAGGGUGCGUAGGUGGCAGGGCAAGUCAGAUGUGAAAGCCCGGGGCCCAACCCCGGUACUGCAUUUGAAACUGUCCGGCUGGAGUGCAGGAGAGGUAAGCGGAAUUCCUAGUGUAGCGGUGAAAUGCGUAGAUAUUAGGAGGAACACCAGCGGCGAAGGCGGCUUACUGGACUGUAACUGACACUGAGGCACGAAAGCGUGGGGAGCAAACAGGAUUAGAUACCCUGGUA